This 253-nucleotide ribosomal RNA is filed under the name uncultured bacterium. Its description in RNAcentral is "partial 16S ribosomal RNA". It matches the Rfam family "Bacterial small subunit ribosomal RNA", at positions 524 to 776 of the family's 1533-position model. The record is from RNAcentral.
GACAGAGGGUGCAAACGUUGCUCGGAAUUACUGGGCGUAAAGCGCGUGUAGGUGGAUUGGUGUGUCAGAUGUGAAAGCCCUGGGCUCAACCCAGGAAUUGCACCUGAAACUACCAGUCUUGAGUGGUGGAGAGGGAAGUGGAAUUCCUGGUGUAGAGGUGAAAUUCGUAGAUAUCAGGAGGAACACCAGUGGCGAAGUCGGCUUCCUGGACACCAACUGACGCUGAGACGCGAAAGCGUGGGGAGCAAACAGG